Molecule: ribosomal RNA, 1045 nt
Filed under: Bacillus sonorensis
Lineage: Bacteria; Bacillati; Bacillota; Bacilli; Caryophanales; Bacillaceae
Also listed under: 1 other name
Description: bacterial SSU rRNA
Rfam family: Bacterial small subunit ribosomal RNA
Source: RNAcentral
GGGGGGGCAGCUUACCAUGCAGUCGAGCGGUAACAGGAGAAGCUUGCUUCUCGCUGACGAGCGGCGGACGGGUGAGUAAUACUUAGGAAUCUACCUAGUAGUGGGGGAUAGCACGGGGAAACUCGUAUUAAUACCGCAUACGACCUACGGGAGAAAGGGGGCAGUUUACUGCUCUCGCUAUUAGAUGAGCCUAAGUCGGAUUAGCUAGAUGGUGGGGUAAAGGCCUACCAUGGCGACGAUCUGUAGCUGGUCUGAGAGGAUGAUCAGCCACACCGGGACUGAGACACGGCCCGGACUCCUACGGGAGGCAGCAGUGGGGAAUAUUGGACAAUGGGGGAAACCCUGAUCCAGCCAUGCCGCGUGUGUGAAGAAGGCCUUUUGGUUGUAAAGCACUUUAAGCAGUGAAGAAGACUCCAUGGUUAAUACCCAUGGACGAUGACAUUAGCUGCAGAAUAAGCACCGGCUAACUCUGUGCCAGCAGCCGCGGUAAUACAGAGGGUGCAAGCGUUAAUCGGAAUUACUGGGCGUAAAGGGAGCGUAGGUGGCUCUAUAAGUCAGAUGUGAAAUCCCCGGGCUUAACCUGGGAACUGCAUCUGAAACUGUAGAGCUAGAGUAUGUGAGAGGAAGGUAGAAUUCCAGGUGUAGCGGUGAAAUGCGUAGAGAUCUGGAGGAAUACCGAUGGCGAAGGCAGCCUUCUGGCAUAAUACUGACACUGAGGCUCGAAAGCGUGGGUAGCAAACAGGAUUAGAUACCCUGGUAGUCCACGCCGUAAACGAUGUCUACUAGUCGUUGGGUCCCUUGAGGACUUAGUGACGCAGCUAACGCAAUAAGUAGACCGCCUGGGGAGUACGGCCGCAAGGUUAAAACUCAAAUGAAUUGACGGGGGCCCGCACAAGCGGUGGAGCAUGUGGUUUAAUUCGAUGCAACGCGAAGAACCUUACCUGGUCUUGACAUAUCUAGAAUCCUGCAGAGAUGCGGGAGUGCCUUCGGGAUUAGAAUACAGGUGCUGCAUGGGCUGUCGUCAGCUCGUGUCGUGAGAUGUUGG